RNAcentral lists this transfer RNA (72 nucleotides) under Camelus bactrianus (Bactrian camel). It matches the Rfam family "tRNA". Rfam says of the family: Transfer RNA (tRNA) molecules are approximately 80 nucleotides in length. Their secondary structure includes four short double-helical elements and three loops (D, anti-codon, and T loops). Further hydrogen bonds mediate the characteristic L-shaped molecular structure. tRNAs have two regions of fundamental functional importance: the anti-codon, which is responsible for specific mRNA codon recognition, and the 3' end, to which the tRNAs corresponding amino acid is attached (by aminoacyl-tRNA synthetases). tRNAs cope with the degeneracy of the genetic code in two manners: having more than one tRNA (with a specific anti-codon) for a particular amino acid; and 'wobble' base-pairing, i.e. permitting non-standard base-pairing at the 3rd anti-codon position. RNAcentral also lists the same sequence under 2 other names. Lineage: Eukaryota; Metazoa; Chordata; Mammalia; Artiodactyla; Camelidae. The record is from Rfam by way of RNAcentral.
GAUGGUAUAGCUCAGUAGCAGAGUGUGUUCCUAGCAUGCACGAGGUCCUGGGUUCAAUCCCCAGUACUGACA